Molecule: small nuclear RNA, 147 nt
Organism: Monodon monoceros (narwhal)
Lineage: Eukaryota; Metazoa; Chordata; Mammalia; Artiodactyla; Monodontidae
Gene: U4
Rfam family: U4 spliceosomal RNA
About the family: U4 small nuclear RNA (U4 snRNA) is a component of the major U2-dependent spliceosome.
Source: Ensembl
AGCUUUGCUCAGUGGCAGUAUUGUAGCCAAUGAGGUUUAUCCGAGGCGCGAUUAUUGCUAAUUGAAGUACCCAGAUAAUGGUAUCUGAUGCACAUUUCGAGUUCUUUUACAGAUAUGAAAACCAUGUCCUGGCUAUUGUAAAUAGAG